Molecule: ribosomal RNA, 514 nt
Filed under: uncultured bacterium
Lineage: Bacteria
Description: bacterial SSU rRNA
Rfam family: Bacterial small subunit ribosomal RNA
Source: RNAcentral
AUUGGGUUUAAAGGGAGUGUAGGCGGUCUGUUAAGCGUGUUGUGAAAUUUAGGUGCUCAACAUUUAACUUGCAGCGCGAACUGGCGGACUUGAGUGCACGCAACGUAUGCGGAAUUCAUGGUGUAGCGGUGAAAUGCUUAGAUAUCAUGACGAACUCCGAUUGCGAAGGCAGCGUACGGGAGUGUUACUGACGCUUAAGCUCGAAGGUGCGGGUAUCGAACAGGAUUAGAUACCCUGGUAGUCCGCACGGUAAACGAUGGAUGCCCGCUGUUAGCGCCUGGCGUUAGCGGCUAAGCGAAAGCAUUAAGCAUCCCACCUGGGGAGUACGCCGGCAACGGUGAAACUCAAAGGAAUUGACGGGGGCCCGCACAAGCGGAGGAACAUGUGGUUUAAUUCGAUAAUACGCGAGGAACCUUACCCGGGCUUGAAUUGCAGACGCAGGAUACAGAGAUGUUGACUCCCUUCGGGGCGUCUGUGAAGGUGCUGCAUGGUUGUCGUCAGCUCGUGUCGUGAG